UACGUAGGGUGCAAGCGUUAAUCGGAAUUACUGGGCGUAAAGCGUGCGCAGGCGGUCUUGCAAGACAGAUGUGAAAUCCCCGGGCUCAACCUGGGAACUGCAUCCGAGACUGCAUUGCUAGAGUAUGGGAGAGGGAAGCGGAAUUUCUGGUGUAGCAGUGAAAUGCGUAGAUAUCAGAAGGAACAUCAGUGGCGAAGGCGGCUUCCUGGACCAAUACUGACGAUCAGGUGCGAAAGCGUGGGGAGCAAACAGG
Molecule: ribosomal RNA, 253 nt
Filed under: uncultured bacterium
Lineage: Bacteria
Description: partial 16S ribosomal RNA
Rfam family: Bacterial small subunit ribosomal RNA
Source: RNAcentral